RNAcentral lists this ribosomal RNA (253 nucleotides) under uncultured prokaryote. Its description in RNAcentral is "partial 16S ribosomal RNA". It matches the Rfam family "Bacterial small subunit ribosomal RNA", at positions 524 to 776 of the family's 1533-position model. The record is from RNAcentral.
UACGAAGGGUGCAAGCGUUGUUCGGAUUCACUGGGCGUAAAGGGUGCGUAGGCGGUCGGGUAAGUCUGACGUGAAAUCUCCGAGCUUAACUCGGAAACGGCGUCGGAUACUAUUCGGCUGGAGGGUUGGAGGGGGGACUGGAAUACUUGGUGUAGCAGUGAAAUGCGUAGAUAUCAAGUAGAACACCGGUGGCGAAGGCGGGUCUCUGGACAGUUCCUGACGCUCAUGCACGAAAGCCAGGGGAGCAAACGGG